This 164-nucleotide ribosomal RNA is filed under the name Hemimeris centrodes. RNAcentral describes it as "5.8S ribosomal RNA". It matches the Rfam family "5.8S ribosomal RNA". Rfam says of the family: 5.8S ribosomal RNA (5.8S rRNA) is a component of the large subunit of the eukaryotic ribosome. It is transcribed by RNA polymerase I as part of the 45S precursor that also contains 18S and 28S rRNA. Lineage: Eukaryota; Viridiplantae; Streptophyta; Magnoliopsida; Lamiales; Scrophulariaceae. The record is from RNAcentral.
AAAACGACUCUCGGCAACGGAUAUCUUGGCUCUCGCAUCGAUGAAGAACGUAGCGAAAUGCGAUACUUGGUGUGAAUUGCAGAAUCCCGUGAACCAUCGAGUCUUUGAACGCAAGUUGCGCCCGAAGCCAUCAGGCCGAGGGCACGUCUGCCUGGGCGUCACGC